Molecule: ribosomal RNA, 253 nt
Filed under: uncultured bacterium
Lineage: Bacteria
Description: partial 16S ribosomal RNA
Rfam family: Bacterial small subunit ribosomal RNA
Source: RNAcentral
UACGUAGGGUGCGAGCGUUAAUCGGAAUUACUGGGCGUAAAGGGCUCGUAGGCGGCCAACUAAGUCAGACGUGAAAUCCCUAGGCUCAACCUAGGAACUGCGUCUGAUACUGGAUGGCUUGAAUCCGGGAGAGGGAUGCAGAAUUCCAGGUGUAGCGGUGAAAUGCGUAGAUAUCUGGAGGAAUACCGGUGGCGAAGGCGGCAUCCUGGACCGGCAUUGACGCUGAGGAGCGAAAGCCAGGGGAGCAAACGGG